This 504-nucleotide ribosomal RNA is filed under the name uncultured bacterium. Its description in RNAcentral is "partial 16S ribosomal RNA". It matches the Rfam family "Bacterial small subunit ribosomal RNA", at positions 30 to 523 of the family's 1533-position model. The record is from RNAcentral.
AUUGAACGCUGGCGGCAUGCCUUACACAUGCAAGUCGAACGGCAGCAUGGAGAGCUUGCUCUCUGAUGGCGAGUGGCGAACAGGUGAGUAAAGCAUCGGAACGUACCGUGUAGUGGGGGAUAACGUAGCGAAAGCUACGCUAAUACCGCAUACGCACUGAGGUGGAAAGCAGGGGAUCGUAAGACCUUGCGCUAUACGAGCGGCCGAUGUCAGAUUAGCUAGUUGGUAGGGUAAAGGCCUACCAAGGAGACGAUCUGUAGCGGGUCUGAGAAGAUGAUCCGCCACACUGGGACUGAGACACGGCCCAGACUACGACGGGAGGCAGCAGUGGGGAAUUUUGGACAAUGGGGGCAACCCUGAUCCAGCCAUGCCGCGUGAGUGAAGAAGGCCUUCGGGUUGUAAAGCUCUUUCGGCCGGGAAGAAAUCGCACAGGCUAAUACCCUGUGUGGAUGACGGUACCGGCAUAAGAAGCACCGGCUAACUACGUGCCAGCCGCCGCAGUAA